GCCAGCAGCUAUAUCAGCCCACACCUUCACCACUGGCAGCCCACUGAAGCUCAGCAGGUGUGAGCCUGGCCAGUACCUGGAUGGGAGACCUCCUGGGAAAGCUAAGGUUGCUGCUGGAA
Molecule: ribosomal RNA, 119 nt
Filed under: Lepisosteus oculatus (spotted gar)
Lineage: Eukaryota; Metazoa; Chordata; Actinopteri; Semionotiformes; Lepisosteidae
Source: RNAcentral